This 2985-nucleotide long non-coding RNA is filed under the name Homo sapiens (human). Its description in RNAcentral is "HSALNT0098352". Lineage: Eukaryota; Metazoa; Chordata; Mammalia; Primates; Hominidae. The record is from RNAcentral.
GUUUUAUUGGAACACGAUGGUAACACAAACAUGGAUUUGGGGUCCCACCACAGAUGUUCCUCCUCCAGGCAGCAUGCACCCCACUUCUGCAGCCAGCAGAGGCUCCAGGAGGCCUGCAGAAGGUGGAGGCAGCCCAGAGACAGACGUGGAGGCGUCUUCUGCAGUGGCGGGUGGUGCGUGGGCCCCUCGGGCCAGAGCUCUGACCAGCUGAGUCUGUGAACAGCCAGACUGGUUUGUUUUCACUUGAGGUCAUGUGGCCGUGACUGAGAGACCUGCCUGCCUCAGACUCCUGGGAAAACUUCCAAGGAGGGGGAUUCUGGGGAUUCCAGAAGGAAUUCAGCCAAGAGACUAAGCACCUCUGGGGGGAUCACCAGGGCAAAUCAUGCCUUUAGGUUUAUUGGCAGAUACACUGCUGAAAGCAUCUGUUUUGGCCACUCUCUGCACUCUCUUUUCUCUGAUCAUUCAUCCAACACAUAUUUAUUAAGCUCCUACCAUGUGACAAACUCUCCUCUAGGGGUUAGACAGACAACGGUCACCAGAAACAGACAGGACCCACAGCCUGGUGAGGAGGAGAGACAGACAACGUUCAAGGAAUCACGCAAACAGCCAUGCCAGUGCCUUCCAAGGAGAGCUCUGAGGGGUGUGGCAGGGGGCCUGGUUUGGUGUGGAGGGUCAAGGAAGACUUCCUCAAGGAAGUGACAUUUCAGGGCACUAAAAUGAGCAGGAGGAGCCUUUCCUCACGGAAACAGCUUUGAGCAUGGAAUGGGCAGAGUGAGUUAAUCAAACUAAAAGGAAAAGAACAGCAGGGCCAGAGUGAAGUGACGGAGGAGGCCUGGCGCAGGGGGAGGCUGGAGAGGGCCCAGCAGGGUCCCAGCACACAGGGCCUGAGGGCUGGGCUGAAGAUGGUUUUAUCUACCUGUGUGGCAUGACCUGGGUUGCAUCUGGCAUGGCCCACUCUGGCUGUCAGGUAGGGGGUGGACUGGGUGGGGGCGAGAGUGCUGAGAAGAGGUGUUCCAACUGUCCUGAUGGAGACAAUGGUGGUCGGAUGGAGUGACACAGAGUAGAUGGGGAGAAGCCAGCAGACAGUGGAGCCAGGGCUCCAUGAGGACUGAGGCAAACGGAGGUGGCAAGGUGGACCCUCAGCCUGUGAAGCCCGGGCAGGCUUUGGUCUGAGAAAGGGACCUGGGGAGCAGAGCAGGUGCAGGGAGAAGGCAGGCACGCAGCUGCAGGCACGCAGCUGCAGACACGCUGAGGGAGAGCGCCUCUGAAACUCCCAGGUGGAGGUGUUGCGGAGGCGGCAGUGGGUCUCAAGCUCCCGGAAGGAGCCAAGCCUGCAGUUAUAAAUCUGUGAGUGAUUUCAUAACCAAACCUCGUGCCUUGUAACUGGAGUUGUGGGUGCAGACGAGGUCACAGGAGGAGAGAUGCUGAGUGAGAAGAGAGGACUCUGGACUGAGACUGAGGAACAGCCACAUCUGAUGGCAGGUACUAGUAACAUCCCCUUUGACAAGUGAAGAAACCGAGGCUUGGCAAGGUUAAUCAGCGUGCCCAAGGUCAGCCAGCUCCCUGAAGUCUGACUCUACCAGCCUCAACCGUUACCAGGGCGGCGAUGGUCAGCAGUCACAAUUACCAGGGGCUGCAGGAGAUCGUCAAAAUCUCGCAGAGCCUACGAUGAAGAAGACACAAGAGUUUGAGAGAGAGGAAGUCACUCGCUCCAGGUCAGCCAGCCAGCAAAUUGGGGAGAUUCAGCAUGAGAAGGAGAAGUUCCUUGAAUCCUCUGGGCACUGGGGACAGCCAGUCCACCCACCCUGGGUAACAAAGGGAUGUGGUCAGUCCUCACGUGAGGAGGGACUGAGUGUCCUCCAUGGACCUGCGACGUCCCGUCUGUGAGGCCCUCGCUACUUUCUGCAAAUUUCUACAUGGAUCAGAGACAGGAGAAGCAGGCACACUGAUGGUUGUCUAGCACCACGUGCCAGUUUUUGGCAGUCGGGACCACCUCGACUUCCUGUCUCCAGGCAGGGUGGGGAGGGAAUGGUCCUUAUGCCCCAGGAGAGCCUCAAGGGCUGUGCACACCCUGCAAUGCAGGCACACCCCCUUCCACCCUCUGAAUGCUCUGCCACAAACAGCCACUGCGAGCGUAAUGAAGCCCCCAAAACAGGGAGCCCUGUGACUCACCACUGCUGCUUCAGGGACAGGGACAACUGCCAGAAUUCUUAGCUCUCUUUUACAGAUGGGGAAAUUGGGACUCAGAGAGGGAUGCGAUCUCUCCAAGCUCACACAGCCAAUCUGUGGCAGGGGAAUGAGAAAGUCUGGUCUGGUCUCCUCUCCCCAUGGCUGGGGCUCUCUCUGCAGUCCCGCCCUAUGCCCAGCCUGCACCCUCACCUGCCCCUGGCUCCUGGACUGGCAACUCAAGUCGUGACACGGACACGCUUUACCGAAUUUGCCUCCACACUUUGAGCGACUCAUUAGUAUAAAAAACACGUUCCUCACCACCCUUGCCAGAAGAUUCUUGACACAACACAGUUGGGGGGUUGGCACGCUCUCUCCGUUGUUAAGUAUUUAUAUAUAGUUAGUAUUGGAAUGGUCCCCGGACACCGAUCCAAGUCUCCCGUUUUCAGAUGGGGGGCACCAGGCUUAGGGUCAGGACCCCCCUGGAACAAUUCAGUAGCACAGCUGAGACAUAAAUCCACAGAGCCUGCCCUGAACUUUCCAGCUGCUCCUUGGCAAAUGGGCCAUGGGGAAAAAAAAUAAAUAAAGGCUGCCACUUACUAAGCAUUUGCUCUGUGCCAGGCACUUUGCAUAAAUCGGUGCUAAAUCUUAUCCUAAUUCUCUCAGGGAGGCAUUUUUAUCCCCAUUUUGCAGAUGAGCAAGCUGAGGCUCAGAGAGGGCAAGCCACCUGCCCAAGGUCACAGAGCCAGGGGCUGGAAAUGGCACACAUUUCUUCCCCCACGCCAGGGUUGGCAAAUGAUAGCCCAUAGGCAAAUUGAG